This 230-nucleotide ribosomal RNA is filed under the name uncultured bacterium. RNAcentral's name for it is "partial 16S ribosomal RNA". It matches the Rfam family "Bacterial small subunit ribosomal RNA", at positions 562 to 791 of the family's 1533-position model. The record is from RNAcentral.
AAAGAGCUCGUAGGUGGUUCGUCGCGUUGUCCGUGAAAUUCCCUGGCUUAACUGGGGGCGUGCGGGCGAUACGGGCAGACUGGAGUACUGCAGGGGAGACUGGAAUUCCUGGUGUAGCGGUGGAAUGCGCAGAUAUCAGGAGGAACACCGGUGGCGAAGGCGGGUCUCUGGGCAGUAACUGACGCUGAGGAGCGAAAGCGUGGGGAGCGAACAGGAUUAGAUACCCGUGU